RNAcentral lists this ribosomal RNA (431 nucleotides) under uncultured bacterium. RNAcentral's name for it is "partial 16S ribosomal RNA". It matches the Rfam family "Bacterial small subunit ribosomal RNA", at positions 29 to 507 of the family's 1533-position model. The record is from RNAcentral.
AACGAACGCUGGCGGCAGGCCUAACACAUGCAAGUCGAGCGCCCUUUCGGGUGAGCGGCGGACGGGUGAGUAACGCGUGGGAAUAUGCCCUUCUCUACGGAAUAGCCUCGGGAAACUGAGAGUAAUACCGUAUACGCCCUGUGGGGGAAAGAUUUAUCGGGGAAGGAUUAGCCCGCGUUGGAUUAGGUAGUUGGUGGGGUAAUGGCCUACCAAGCCGACGAUCCAUAGCUGGUUUGAGAGGAUGAUCAGCCACACUGGGACUGAGACACGGCCCAGACUCCUACGGGAGGCAGCAGUGGGGAAUCUUAGACAAUGGGGGCAACCCUGAUCUAGCCAUGCCGCGUGAGUGAUGAAGGCCUUAGGGUUGUAAAGCUCUUUCAGCUGGGAAGAUAAUGACGGUACCAGCAGAAGAAGCCCCGGCUAACUCCGUG